AAUUUGUAGAGGAUGCUUUUGGUGAGGUGCCUUCCGAGUUCCCUGGAACGGGACGCCAUAGAGGGUGAGAGCCCCGUCUGGUUGGACACCGAUCCUCUGUAAAGCUCCUUCAACGAGUCGAGUAGUUUGGGAAUGCUGCUCUAAAUGGGAGGUAUAUGUCUUCUAAAGCUAAAUAUUGGCCAGAGACCGAUAGCGCACAAGUAGAGUGAUCGAAAGAUGAAAAGCACUUUGAAAAGAGAGUUAAAAAGUACGUGAAAUUGUUGAAAGGGAAGCGCUCAUGACCAGACUUGGGCUUGGUUGAUCAUCCAGGGUUCUCCCUGGUGCACUCUUCCAGUUCAGGCCAGCAUCAGUUCGCUGCGGGGGAUAAAGGCUUUGGGAAUGUGGCUCCUUCGGGAGUGUUAUAGCCCAUUGUGUAAUACCCUGUGGUGGACUGAGGACCGCGCUUUUGCAAGGAUGCUGGCGUAAUG
RNAcentral lists this ribosomal RNA (467 nucleotides) under fungal endophyte sp. DM146. Its description in RNAcentral is "eukaryotic LSU rRNA". It matches the Rfam family "Eukaryotic large subunit ribosomal RNA", at positions 147 to 636 of the family's 3401-position model. Lineage: Eukaryota; Fungi. The record is from RNAcentral.